Non-coding RNA from Callithrix jacchus (white-tufted-ear marmoset), 104 nucleotides. Lineage: Eukaryota; Metazoa; Chordata; Mammalia; Primates; Cebidae. The record is from Rfam.
AUUGUUCUGUAGUUCAUAAGCACGAUGAUUGAGUUUUCAUGCUCAUGUGUGAGACGUGAUUCACUCCAAUCUUGUUAUAGUGUUAGCACAUUACCUAUCUGAUA